GCACCGGUAGCUCAAUUGGAUAGAGUACCCGNNAGAGGUUCGAAUCCUCUCCGGUGCGCCA
This 61-nucleotide transfer RNA is filed under the name Parachlamydiales bacterium. Its description in RNAcentral is "tRNA-Ser". It matches the Rfam family "tRNA". Rfam says of the family: Transfer RNA (tRNA) molecules are approximately 80 nucleotides in length. Their secondary structure includes four short double-helical elements and three loops (D, anti-codon, and T loops). Further hydrogen bonds mediate the characteristic L-shaped molecular structure. tRNAs have two regions of fundamental functional importance: the anti-codon, which is responsible for specific mRNA codon recognition, and the 3' end, to which the tRNAs corresponding amino acid is attached (by aminoacyl-tRNA synthetases). tRNAs cope with the degeneracy of the genetic code in two manners: having more than one tRNA (with a specific anti-codon) for a particular amino acid; and 'wobble' base-pairing, i.e. permitting non-standard base-pairing at the 3rd anti-codon position. The record is from RNAcentral. Lineage: Bacteria; Pseudomonadati; Chlamydiota; Chlamydiia; Parachlamydiales.